This 232-nucleotide ribosomal RNA is filed under the name uncultured bacterium. RNAcentral describes it as "partial 16S ribosomal RNA". It matches the Rfam family "Bacterial small subunit ribosomal RNA", at positions 99 to 334 of the family's 1533-position model. The record is from RNAcentral.
CGACCGGGUGAGUAAGACGUAGACGACCGACCAUCAAGUGGGGAACAACUGGCCGAAAGGACAGCUAAUACCGCAUAAGGUUCAUGAAUCAGUUCAUGAAAGAAAGCUGAAAAGCGCUGGAUGGAGGGUCUGCGGCCUAUCAGGUGGUUGGCGGGGUAACGGCCCACCAAGCUAAUGACGGGUAGGGGGUGUGAGAGCAUGACCCCCCACACUGGCACUGAGAACGGGCCAG